GAUGAGCGCUGGCGGCGUGCCUAAUACAUGCAAGUCGAGCGAACAGACGAGGAGCUUGCUCCUCUGACGUUAGCGGCGGACGGGUGAGUAACACGUGGAUAACCUACCUAUAAGACUGGUAUAACUUCGGGAAACCGGAGCUAAUACCGGAUAAUAUAUUGAACCGCAUGGUUCAAUAGUGAAAGACGGUUUUGCUGUCACUUAUAGAUGGAUCCGCGCCGCAUUAGCUAGUUGGUAAGGUAACGGCUUACCAAGGCAACGAUGCGUAGCCGACCUGAGAGGGUGAUCGGCCACACUGGAACUGAGACACGGUCCAGACUCCUACGGGAGGCAGCAGUAGGGAAUCUUCCGCAAUGGGCGAAAGCUUGACGGAGCAACGCCGCGUGAGUGAUGAAGGUCUUCGGAUCGUAAAACUCUGUUAUUAGGGAAGAACAAAUGUGUAAGUAACUAUGCACGUCUUGACGGUACCUAAUCAGAAAGCCACGGCUAACUACGUG
Molecule: ribosomal RNA, 497 nt
Filed under: uncultured bacterium
Lineage: Bacteria
Description: partial 16S ribosomal RNA
Rfam family: Bacterial small subunit ribosomal RNA
Source: RNAcentral